GUGGGAUUAGCUAGUUGGUGAGGUAAUGGCUCACCAAGGCGACGAUCCCUAGCUGUUCUGAGAGGAUGAUCAGCCACACUGGGACUGAGACACGGCCCAGACUCCUACGGGAGGCAGCAGUGGGGAAUAUUGCACAAUGGGGGAAACCCUGAUGCAGCCAUGCCGCGUGUGUGAAGAAGGCCUUCGGGUUGUAAAGCACUUUCAGUAGGGAGGAAAGGGUGUAGUUUAAUACGCUAUAUCUGUGACGUUACCUACAGAAGAAGGACCGGCUAACUCCGUGCCAGCAGCCGCGGUAAUACGGAGGGUCCGAGCGUUAAUCGGAAUUACUGGGCGUAAAGCGUGCGCAGGCGGUUUGUUAAGCGAGAUGUGAAAGCCCUGGGCUCAACCUAGGAAUAGCAUUUCGAACUGGCGAACUAGAGUCUUGUAGAGGGGGGUAGAAUUCCAGGUGUAGCGGUGAAAUGCGUGGAGAUCUGGAGGAAUACCGGUGGCGAAGGCGGCCCCCUGGACAAAGACUGACGCUCAUGCACGAAAGCGUGGGGAGCAAACAGGAUUAGAUACCCAGGUAGUCCACGCCGUAAACGAUGUC
This 586-nucleotide ribosomal RNA is filed under the name uncultured Shewanella sp. RNAcentral describes it as "bacterial SSU rRNA". It matches the Rfam family "Bacterial small subunit ribosomal RNA", at positions 235 to 813 of the family's 1533-position model. The record is from RNAcentral. Lineage: Bacteria; Pseudomonadati; Pseudomonadota; Gammaproteobacteria; Alteromonadales; Shewanellaceae.